RNAcentral lists this ribosomal RNA (1372 nucleotides) under uncultured bacterium. RNAcentral's name for it is "bacterial SSU rRNA". It matches the Rfam family "Bacterial small subunit ribosomal RNA", at positions 28 to 1381 of the family's 1533-position model. The record is from RNAcentral.
GAUGAACGCUGGCGGCGUGCCUAAUACAUGCAAGUCGAGCGAACGGACGAGAAGCUUGCUUCUCUGAUGUUAGCGGCGGACGGGUGAGUAACACGUGGAUAACCUACCUAUAAGACUGGGAUAACUUCGGGAAACCGGAGCUAAUACCGGAUAAUAUUUUGAACCGCAUGGUUCAAAAGUGAAAGACGGUCUUGCUGUCACUUAUAGAUGGAUCCGCGCUGCAUUAGCUAGUUGGUAAGGUAACGGCUUACCAAGGCAACGAUGCAUAGCCGACCUGAGAGGGUGAUCGGCCACACUGGAACUGAGACACGGUCCAGACUCCUACGGGAGGCAGCAGUAGGGAAUCUUCCGCAAUGGGCGAAAGCCUGACGGAGCAACGCCGCGUGAGUGAUGAAGGUCUUCGGAUCGUAAAACUCUGUUAUUAGGGAAGAACAUAUGUGUAAGUAACUGUGCACAUCUUGACGGUACCUAAUCAGAAAGCCACGGCUAACUACGUGCCAGCAGCCGCGGUAAUACGUAGGUGGCAAGCGUUAUCCGGAAUUAUUGGGCGUAAAGCGCGCGUAGGCGGUUUUUUAAGUCUGAUGUGAAAGCCCACGGCUCAACCGUGGAGGGUCAUUGGAAACUGGAAAACUUGAGUGCAGAAGAGGAAAGUGGAAUUCCAUGUGUAGCGGUGAAAUGCGCAGAGAUAUGGAGGAACACCAGUGGCGAAGGCGACUUUCUGGUCUGUAACUGACGCUGAUGUGCGAGAGCGUGGGGAUCAAACAGGAUUAGAUACCCUGGUAGUCCACGCCGUAAACGAUGAGUGCUAAGUGUUAGGGGGUUUCCGCCCCUUAGUGCUGCAGCUAACGCAUUAAGCACUCCGCCUGGGGAGUACGACCGCAAGGUUGAAACUCAAAGGAAUUGACGGGGACCCGCACAAGCGGUGGAGCAUGUGGUUUAAUUCGAAGCAACGCGAAGAACCUUACCAAAUCUUGACAUCCUUUGACAACUCUAGAGAUAGAGCCUUCCCCUUCGGGGGGCAAAGUGACAGGUGGUGCAUGGUUGUCGUCAGCUCGUGUCGUGAGAUGUUGGGUUAAGUCCCGCAACGAGCGCAACCCUUAAGCUUAGUUGCCAUCAUUAAGUUGGGCACUCUAAGUUGACUGCCGGUGACAAACCGGAGGAAGGUGGGGAUGACGUCAAAUCAUCAUGCCCCUUAUGAUUUGGGCUACACACGUGCUACAAUGGACAAUACAAAGGGCAGCGAAACCGCGAGGUCAAGCAAAUCCCAUAAAGUUGUUCUCAGUUCGGAUUGUAGUCUGCAACUCGACUACAUGAAGCUGGAAUCGCUAGUAAUCGUAGAUCAGCAUGCUACGGUGAAUACGUUCCCGGGUCU